RNAcentral lists this unclassified non-coding RNA (210 nucleotides) under Hevea brasiliensis (rubber tree). Lineage: Eukaryota; Viridiplantae; Streptophyta; Magnoliopsida; Malpighiales; Euphorbiaceae. The record is from RNAcentral.
CCAUGGGAUGGAGAAAGAAAAAAAAAAAAUACAUUUUCUGGUGGAUUUUCUUGUCCCUGUUGUUCAUGGAAUGUGGAUAUGUGUUGGUUUUCUUUGGUUGUGUAAUUCUAGGUAAAUCUGGACAAAGUAAUAGGAGAAGCUGAUGAUUUUUCGAUUUUGAAAGAAUGUCUGGGACUCAAGCGGGACUCGUCUGUGGAGAUUUCAACCGCU